Molecule: non-coding RNA, 116 nt
Filed under: Pannonibacter phragmitetus
Lineage: Bacteria; Pseudomonadati; Pseudomonadota; Alphaproteobacteria; Hyphomicrobiales; Stappiaceae
Description: TPP sequence
Rfam family: TPP riboswitch aptamer (THI element)
About the family: Vitamin B(1) in its active form thiamin pyrophosphate (TPP) is an essential coenzyme that is synthesised by coupling of pyrimidine and thiazole moieties in bacteria. The previously detected thiamin-regulatory element, thi box was extended, resulting in a new, highly conserved RNA secondary structure, the THI element, which is widely distributed in eubacteria and also occurs in some archaea.
Source: Rfam by way of RNAcentral
GGCUCCACCUUGGGGAGUCCCGUGCAAGGGGCUGAGAUACUGCUGGCGAUGCAGCGCAGUGACCCGUUGAACCUGAUCCAGUUCACGCUGGCGGAGGGAUGGUGUGUGAUGUGCGC